CCACUGGCUGUUCCUUCUAAAUGAAACCAUGUUUGUAGAACAACAAUAAAAGUUAGCGCAGUGUAGUGUUCCGCUGGUUAUGUGCAAAAAGCCUCUGACUGAGGAAUCGUUCAAUUGACUAUUGUCAGUCAAAGAGGCGAAGCAGAAAAAAAAACAACAAAAAAAAACACAUGGGCUUCUAAAAGGCAAGCAAAUCCUCACACAGCAUAUUAGUAUGCCUAGAUAGUUAGCAGGGCGCUAUAGUGCCAGGUAAACAGGUUUGUAUGUCUAGCAAUAUAAU
Molecule: non-coding RNA, 280 nt
Organism: Pelobates cultripes (western spadefoot toad)
Lineage: Eukaryota; Metazoa; Chordata; Amphibia; Anura; Pelobatidae
Source: the annotation of a GenBank genome assembly